GAUGAACGCUAGCGAUAGGCUUAACACAUGCAAGUCGAGGGGCAGCAUGGUCUUAGCUUGCUAAGACUGAUGGCGACCGGCGCACGGGUGCGUAACGCGUAUGCAGCUUGCCUCACAGAGGGGGAUAACCCGUCGAAAGACGGACUAAUACCGCGUACACUUGGGAUAGGGCAUCCUGACCCAAGGAAAUGAAAUUCGCUGUGAGAUAGGCAUGCGUCCCAUUAGCUAGUUGGUGAGGUAACGGCUCACCAAGGCGACGAUGGGUAGGGGAACUGAGAGGUUGAACCCCCACACUGGUACUGAGACACGGACCAGACUCCUACGGGAGGCAGCAGUGAGGAAUAUUGGUCAAUGGGCGAGAGCCUGAACCAGCCAAGUCGCGUGAAGGAUGACUGUCUUAUGGAUUGUAAACUUCUUUUAUACGGGAAUAACAAGAGCCACGUGUGGCUCCCUGCAUGUACCGUAUGAAUAAGCAUCGGCUAACUCCGUG
RNAcentral lists this ribosomal RNA (490 nucleotides) under uncultured bacterium. RNAcentral's name for it is "partial 16S ribosomal RNA". It matches the Rfam family "Bacterial small subunit ribosomal RNA", at positions 28 to 507 of the family's 1533-position model. The record is from RNAcentral.